Molecule: ribosomal RNA, 165 nt
Filed under: uncultured bacterium
Lineage: Bacteria
Description: partial 16S rRNA
Rfam family: Bacterial small subunit ribosomal RNA
Source: RNAcentral
UAGGGAAUCUUCGGCAAUGGGGGCAACCCUGACCGAGCAACGCCGCGUGAGUGAAGAAGGUUUUCGGACCGUAAAGCUCUGUUGUAAGAGAAGAACGUGUGUGAGAGUGGAAAAUUCACACAGUGACGGUAACUUACCAGAAAGGGACGGCUAACUACGCGCCAG